ACGAUGGAUAGGGGUUCUGAGAGGAAGGUCCCCCACAUUGGAACUGAGACACGGUCCAAACUCCUACGGGAGGCAGCAGUGAGGAAUAUUGGUCAAUGGGCGAGAGCCUGAACCAGCCAAGUAGCGUGAAGGAUGAAGGUUCUAUGGAUUGUAAACUUCUUUUAUAAGGGAAUAAAGUGCUUUACGUGUAGAGUUUUGUAUGUACCUUAUGAAUAAGCAUCGGCUAACUCCGUGCCAGCAGCCGCGGUAAUACGGAGGAUGCGAGCGUUAUCCGGAUUUAUUGGGUUUAAAGGGAGCGUAGACGGGAUGUUAAGUCAGCUGUGAAAGUUUGGGGCUCAACCUUAAAAUUGCAGUUGAAACUGGCGUUCUUGAGUGCGGUAGAGGCAGGCGGAAUUCGUGGUGUAGCGGUGAAAUGCUUAGAUAUCACGAAGAACCCCGAUUGCGAAGGCAGCUUGCUGGAGCGUAACUGACGUUGAUGCUCGAAAGUGUGGGUAUCAAACAGGAUUAGAUACCCUGGUAGUCCACACGGUAAACGAUGGAUACUCGCUGUUGGCGAUAUACAGUCAGCGGCCAAGCGAAAGCAUUAAGUAUCCCACCUGGGGAGUACGCCGGCAACGGUGAAACUCAAAGGAAUUGACGGGGGCCCGCACAAGCGGAGGAACAUGUGGUUUAAUUCGAUGAUACGCGAGGAACCUUACCCGGGCUUAAAUUAUGCAUGAAUGAUCUGGAGACAG
This 734-nucleotide ribosomal RNA is filed under the name Bacteroides caecigallinarum. Its description in RNAcentral is "bacterial SSU rRNA". It matches the Rfam family "Bacterial small subunit ribosomal RNA", at positions 276 to 1009 of the family's 1533-position model. The record is from RNAcentral. Lineage: Bacteria; Pseudomonadati; Bacteroidota; Bacteroidia; Bacteroidales; Bacteroidaceae. RNAcentral also lists the same sequence under 1 other name.